Molecule: ribosomal RNA, 460 nt
Filed under: uncultured bacterium
Lineage: Bacteria
Description: partial 16S ribosomal RNA
Rfam family: Bacterial small subunit ribosomal RNA
Source: RNAcentral
CCUACGGGAGGCAGCAGUGAGGAAUAUUGGUCAAUGGACGCAAGUCUGAACCAGCCAUGCCGCGUGCAGGAAGACGGCCCUAUGAGUUGUAAACUGCUUUUGUACGAGGGUAAACGCAGAUACGCGUAUCUGUCUGAAAGUAUCGUACGAAUAAGGAUCGGCUAACUCCGUGCCAGCAGCCGCGGCAAUACGGAGGAUUCAAGCGUUAUCCGGAUUUAUUGGGUUUAAAGGGAGCGUAGGCGGUCGGAUAAGUUAGAGGUGAAAGCCCGAGGCUCAACUUCGGAAUUGCAUCUGAUACUGGUCGGCUAGAGAGUAGUUGAGGUAGGCGGAAUGUAUGGUGUAGCGGUGAAAUGCUUAGAGAUCAUACAGAACACCGAUUGCGAAGGCAGCUUACCAAGCUACUUCUGACGUUGAGGCACGAAAGCGUGGGGAGCAAACAGGAUUAGAUACCCUUGUAGUC